This 557-nucleotide ribosomal RNA is filed under the name Fusarium sp. Its description in RNAcentral is "LSU rRNA". It matches the Rfam family "Eukaryotic large subunit ribosomal RNA", at positions 72 to 652 of the family's 3401-position model. Lineage: Eukaryota; Fungi; Ascomycota; Sordariomycetes; Hypocreales; Nectriaceae. The record is from RNAcentral.
GGAUUGCCCUAGUAACGGCGAGUGAAGCGGCAACAGCUCAAAUUUGAAAUCUGGCUCUCGGGCCCGAGUUGUAAUUUGUAGAGGAUACUUUUGAUGCGGUGCCUUCCGAGUUCCCUGGAACGGGACGCCAUAGAGGGUGAGAGCCCCGUCUGGUUGGAUGCCAAAUCUCUGUAAAGUUCCUUCAACGAGUCGAGUAGUUUGGGAAUGCUGCUCUAAAUGGGAGGUAUAUGUCUUCUAAAGCUAAAUACCGGCCAGAGACCGAUAGCGCACAAGUAGAGUGAUCGAAAGAUGAAAAGCACUUUGAAAAGAGAGUUAAAAAGUACGUGAAAUUGUUGAAAGGGAAGCGUUUAUGACCAGACUUGGGCUUGGUUAAUCAUCUGGGGUUCUCCCCAGUGCACUUUUCCAGUCCAGGCCAGCAUCAGUUUUCCCCGGGGGAUAAAGGCGGCGGGAAUGUGGCUCUCUUCGGGGAGUGUUAUAGCCCACCGUGUAAUACCCUGGGGGGGACUGAGGUUCGCGCAUCUGCAAGGAUGCUGGCGUAAUGGUCAUCAACGACCCGU